Molecule: ribosomal RNA, 253 nt
Filed under: uncultured bacterium
Lineage: Bacteria
Description: partial 16S ribosomal RNA
Rfam family: Bacterial small subunit ribosomal RNA
Source: RNAcentral
UACGAGCCGGACAAACGUUACUCGGAAUCACUGGGCUUAAAGGGUGCGUAGGCUGCGCGGAGGGUGGGAUGUGAAAUCCCCCGGCUCAACCGGGGAAUAGCGUCCCAAACCGCCGUGCUAGAGGAAGACAGGGGUGAGCGGAACUGAUGGUGGAGCGGUGAAAUGCGUUGAUAUCAUCAGGAACACCAGUGGCGAAGGCGGCUCACUGGGUCUUUCCUAACGCUGAGGCACGAAAGCUAGGGGAGCGAACGGG